GAUGAAGAACGUAGCGAAAUGCGAUAAGUAAUGUGAAUUGCAGAAUUCAGUGAAUCAUCGAAUCUUUGAACGCACAUUGCGCCCGCCAGUAUUCUGGCGGGCAUGCCUGUUCGAGCGUCAUUAUAACCCUCAAGCUCAGCUUGGUGUUGGGGCCUGCUGCACUGGCAGCCCUUAAAAUCAGUGGCGGCGCCAUCUGGCUCUAAGCGUAGUAAUUCUUCUCGCUAUGGAGUCCUGGUGGAUGCUUGCCAUCAACCCCCAAUUUUUCUAUGGUUGACCUCGGAUCAGGUAGGGAUACCCGCUGAACUUAAGCAUAUCAAUAAGCGGAGGA
RNAcentral lists this unclassified non-coding RNA (328 nucleotides) under soil metagenome. RNAcentral describes it as "partial contains 5.8S ribosomal RNA, internal transcribed spacer 2, and large subunit ribosomal RNA". The stretch from base 1 to 120 matches the Rfam family "5.8S ribosomal RNA", at positions 35 to 154 of the family's 154-position model. The record is from RNAcentral.